This is an RNA transcript of Cuculus canorus (common cuckoo), 4404 nucleotides long. It is a transcript of the gene named apolipoprotein O like, with no coding region annotated. Lineage: Eukaryota; Metazoa; Chordata; Aves; Cuculiformes; Cuculidae. The transcript is spliced from 11 exons. The record is from RefSeq and is a predicted model, not a curated record.
CAUCUAGACCACGCCCCCUUCGCUCGGGCACGCCCCGCGCGCCGCUGCCGCUAAGAUGGCGGCCGAGAAUCUGUAUUUUUGAUAUUUGAUAAGAUUCUAGCACUUUGAAGUAGAUCGUUUGAAAUGCAAGGACUUAAAGCCAAAAUUAUCCAGGUGGCAAAGCUGGCAGCUGUGUCUGCUGCUGUGCCGUUUGCGUGUAUCACUGUACAUGCUGCAGCAGAAAGGGAAUCCAAAGGUCACCUGGUGAAGCCCAGUCAGCUUCCAAUUUACUGUCCACCUCCUCUGAAAUCGAGAUACAUUGAAGAGCAGCCUGGUCACUUGCAAAAGCAGUUUUCGUCAGUAAGACAAACAACCGGCCGCUACAUUGGAUGGUGCAAGGAUGCUUUUCUCUUUGUUAAAAAUGGAAUACUGGAUUCAAUUCAAUUUGGAAAAGACGCUUACGUUUACCUGAAGAAUCCACCACCAGAAUUUCUUCCCAAAGUUGGUGUAAUUACAAUAUCGGGUUUUGCUGGUGUAGUGCUGGCAAGAAAAGGUUCUAGAUUUAAGAAAAUUGCUUAUCCAUUGGGACUUGCUACUUUAGGAAUUUCUGUUUGUUACCCGGCUCAGUCAGUGGUGAUUGCUAAGGUAACAGGAAAAAAGUUAAUUUCUGCAAGCCAUCAAAGCUACGAAGCUGUGCGAUCGCUGUGGGCUAAAAAGGAAGAUGUCAGCAAGCUGCAGCAAGACUCAAAAUCACUUGUAAAAGAAGAUAAGAAAAAGAAGGAAAUAUCUGGUACAACACCUGUGUCUGCUAUUGAAUCAAGAUCAUUUAACAGAACAGAACCUUCUCCAGUAGAAUCUUGGAGUAGCACAGAUGCAGUGACUUCAUCAGGAACACUGAAGGCACCAAAAUUUAGGCCUGAUCCAAAACUUAUGGACCAUGGCCAGUCCAGCCCGGAAGAUGUGGAUAUGUACAGUACCAGAAGCUGAGACAAGUCUGCUUGCAAGUCUUCACGAAGUAUAAUACAGUUCAGAUAAGGGGGAGGGAAGAAGGGAAGGAAUAAUCCUUACAAUACAUACUCUGUGAGGUGUCAUAUAAUCAGGUGAAUGGAAAAACUUCUUGUCCAGUGUGCUUCUUGUGUAUUGAAAUGUCACUUCAGUUGGGGAAAAAACACACAACUGAUCUCUAAAACAUAUUUUAUAGACUAUGCAUUAGUUUUCAUCUAAUAUUUUGAAGAACUGUAUGCAAAUUGCUGAACCCAUGAAACUGGUACUGCUUGAAUCUAUAUAAAGUGCAUUAGCAAUGUUUAGGAAGCUGGAAACCUCCUGUAGUUUCGAGGUAUAAGGAUUGGAAUAGAUGUGGUUGUCUUCCUCGAGCAAUGUGCAACUCCUUGUCAGUGCACAGUGAUGAUCAACCUGCUGCCUAGAGCUGAACUCAUCUGUAUCUACUGUCACACUUCCUGAAUAUACAAACUGCAAAGGGUGCUGUGCUGGUAGUUUGUCCUUCGACCUGUUGAAUUCUGUUACCUUUAAAUUGAUGAAAAUAUGUGCUUUGUUAAGUUGAGGGGGGGAAGCAAGAACAAACUGUACAAACUGAUGGCCCGGUUGGGAGACUUAAACCUGGAAAGAAAUGCUGCUUCCUGUGAAUGUAUUCUCAGCGUUGGGAUAUGAAGGGUUACUUGCUCCUGUUCUCCGUAAGAAGAGAUUUCACGAUGCAGUUCUUUCUUCUUCAGCUGCUAAUGUAAAGGGAAAUGACUGGUAAAGUCCAGGCAGCCUAUAUUGCUGUGUCACUGUAGGACUAGUAGAAGUUUUAAGGAGGUACUGCAUUAUGGCAUGUGCACAAGGCACAAGUGAUGAAUGAGCAAAAGAAUAAGCAAGGCUUUUAUGAUGGUUCAGAAAGAAAUAAGUAUUCAUAUUUUGGAAUCCAGAUUUCAGACAAAGUAUUGGACUUUGUUACAUGGGAUCCAACGGAAGGUGAAGUUGGUGAAUGUGAAGUUGAAGGAAGAGUAAUUCUGUUAGUUAGACUUGCUUGGGACAGCUGACUUAAUUUAAUGUGUUUUGUUCCUUCACUCAUCUCUUAAGGCCUAGAGAACUGUCAGAAUUCAGGCAGCAGUCAGAGGAUAUCAAAGCCGUCUUUACAAAGCUCCUGGACAAGACACAUCUAGUAUUUCAUCACACAGAGAGGAGUAGAAAAAUAGGGUGACUGGGCUUCAUAUACCAUUUCCAGGGAAACAGAUGAAGAUAUGAGGAAGUGAAAAUGGUGAAGAAAUGAUCACUUUAAAGUGCAAGACUGGAUGGCAAAAAUUGUGUUACCUAUCUCCAUAGCUAACCCUUUGAUAAGAUUCUGGAUAAAAAACAUAAAGGAAAAUACAUCUGCCUUACUCCUAGAUUCUAUUUAAAUGCUUAUGUCCUUUGAGCGAUGCACUACCGCAAAUCAACAGGAGAGGUAAGAUGAUGCAGGUUUGCAUGGAAUUCGGAGGGGUUCGCUGUGAUGACACUGCACGGGUUGACUAUGCACAGGAAUUAGUCUUCUGGGAGCAGGGAGAGAAGCUACCUUGGAUAUCUGUUAGGGAACAGCCAUGUCUGCACUUUCCAGGCAAGAGAAGCCCUUAAAGACUGCCCUCUUCCUGCUGUGCCAACAGCUCGUCUGCCUUUCCAUAGUCCAAGGGCAUUAGCACUCAAAUCUCAUGGUACAGACAGAAGUAUCUGGUCUAUGUUGGACUUGUUGGUUAGGCAGUCAAGAAUUCAGUGUUUCUUGCAAGCAUUUUAUAUUAUGUCCCCAGGUUUUAAAAGGUUCAUGCUGUAAAUAGACAUGAUACAGACCAGUGACAGUUUUGUGUAUCUUAGUGUCAUAUCCAUAGGGCAAAAUCGUAAUCGAACUGUACCUCAGAGUUAAAUCAUCACUCAGAAGUUUUGGAUACAUUUUCUGGAACAGAACUUGAAAUUGUUGCUCCUGCUCACUUUGAUGGAUGAGCAGUCUGAGGAAUUCAGUUCUAGAGCUCAUAAAAUGGUAUUUCUGCGCUGUGUCAUUUCUUCUCUGUGGGUGAGAAGAGUGAGAGACAGCACAGGUUUAUUCCAGUACUGGGUUCGUCUGCUACCGUUGUGUUUUAGUUUAGCUUUUUGGUUAGUUGAGAUUUCUGUCUUAUUACUCUCUACGGGAGAGGGCAAUUGUUUAUGCUUUGUUUUCUGCCAACAGUUUCUGUUCUAUUUCCCAACACAGUUGAAAAGUUGGGGCUGAAACUAGAGGCUUGAGUUUCUGCACUGAAACAGAUGGAGCUAAAGACAACUUUCCCUGCCUGCAACCAAAGAAAAUGGGACAAAACAAGUGUGAAGAGUUUUGUAUCCUGUCUAGUUGUGUUCUGUGUUAUUAGAAAGCCUAGAAUUGAUCACUCAGUUGGUAAUUCUCUGUGCUAGCAUAUAGUUUUAUUAGUAGGUGGAAGGAAUCUUUUAGUAAGACCUGGAAUUUGAUCUAUUAUAGGUCUUUGUUAAUGUAAACUUCUAUUAAAGUCAGUCAUCGUCUCAUCCACCUUUGUGAGACGUGAUGAGAGAAACCUCUAGAGGUGCCAAAAAAUAUGCAAGUUAUUAUAGAGAAGUUUGGGAUGUAUUUGUUGAAAUGAAAGCAGCCCAAAUCAGAGGACUCUUAUGCAAAUAUUGAAGUGGUGACUGUGAGUCUUGAUUACUUGUCUACCAUUCUGUGAAGUGUUGCUCUCUUGAAUCUAAACAGGUGCCUGCCCUCUUCAGUUCAGACACCUGAACCUCUGUUUUAUGUUGUGCUCUGUAGGUGGCUUCUUCCAGACUACAAGGAACUGUAGCCACAUCUCAGUAUUAAUGACUUACUUCAAAGGUGCUAUGCAAUGGCUUUAAAAAAGCAAAUUCAAAUCUACAUUAUGCUGUGGUUGGGAGUCCUUAUUUUUAAUACACGUGCCUGACUUGAUCUCUUCCAGAUUUCAGAUCCAGUAUGCAAGCCUGUUAACCCAUGAAAAACUAACAUAGGUACACAGAAAAAGUUGUAUUGCAAGACAUGGUUUGAUUAAUUUAUAGUGGAACACUUUGAAAUGCCUCUCAAAUGUACCAUUAAUAGUCACUUAAUCUCAACAUUUCUUUCAUAAUGCAAUAAUACAGUAACAUAAUGAAAGUAAGAAUGUGUACUGAAAUUUUUAUAUGAUGAAGCUAUGUAUUUUUGAAAAAUCCAAUGUCUUGAAGAACUGGGUCACAUGAUCUUUUAUAAUAUGGGAAUAUUUUUAAUUUAGCGCAUGUUUUUAUUUAUAAUUGAUUGUAUUCAAUAUAUAGAGAUUUGGACCUUGUUAAUAUUUUUUAUUUACAUAAAACCAAUUGUGAUAGUUUAUUCUGUCUUGUCAUUGUGAAGUGCCUGAAAAUAAAGGGUGAUAAGAUACUUUUUAAAAAUAAGCUUAACUUUUGUAUGUUGUC